Molecule: unclassified non-coding RNA, 424 nt
Filed under: Hevea brasiliensis (rubber tree)
Lineage: Eukaryota; Viridiplantae; Streptophyta; Magnoliopsida; Malpighiales; Euphorbiaceae
Source: RNAcentral
GUUGAGUUGGUCAAUACUGAUAUUAAGUAUCAAAAUAUAGAAGCAUUCACAUUUAGAUUAAUAGCAUGUCUUUUCAUAUGAACAAAUCAUAUGAAGUGUCUAGAUGUGUUUGCCAGUAGGAGUGUUCAUAAGUUAUUCUGGCACCAGCUUGAGCUUGAAAAAAAAUAUUCAGACCAAACCCAUUAAGAUUGAUCAGAGAAUACCCCAAUCUGAUUGACACUGAACCAUAGUUCACAAAAUAACCAAAUCACAAUAAAAGUUAUUUCAUUCGGUUUUGGGCAGAAAAAGAUCCAUUUAUGGGUUGAAGGACAUAAAGGCACUUUAAAUUUACUGAGUUACAGCAAAAUGCGGUCUUAAGAGACAAAUGCAUGAAGCGGCUUCUAUUAUUUAGUUCAAAAUGAUAAAAGUACACAUGUUACCUGAU